RNAcentral lists this ribosomal RNA (279 nucleotides) under uncultured Staphylococcus sp. RNAcentral's name for it is "partial 16S ribosomal RNA". It matches the Rfam family "Bacterial small subunit ribosomal RNA", at positions 83 to 356 of the family's 1533-position model. The record is from RNAcentral. Lineage: Bacteria; Bacillati; Bacillota; Bacilli; Caryophanales; Staphylococcaceae.
CCUUUGACGUUAGCGGCGGACGGGUGAGUAACACGUGGGUAACCUACCUAUAAGACUGGGAUAACUUCGGGAAACCGGAGCUAAUACCGGAUAAUAUUUCGAACCGCNUGGUUCGAUAGUGAAAGGUGGUUUUGCUAUCACUUAUAGAUGGACCCGCGCCGUAUUAGCUAGUUGGUAAGGUAACGGCUUACCAAGGCGACGAUACGUAGCCGACCUGAGAGGGUGAUCGGCCACACUGGAACUGAGACACGGUCCAGACUCCUACGGGAGGCAGCAGCG